GUAAAACCUCUAGAAUCUGUGCCUUUUUCCUGAGGAAUGGGGACAUGGCGUCUAGAGAGCGGCAAGAUGACUGGGCACGGGAAGAUCGCUGUUUCCCCUAUAGGAAUAAGCACAGCACAUUGUCCUAGAGGAAGGGAGCCAGAAAGCCUCUCUAAAUCCUCUGCUUGAGGGUCAGACAGAACCUGGAGCGGUUGCAGCUAGACGCAGAGAGCAAAACACUCAUUAACAGGCAGCCCAGAAGCAUUCUCCUUCCUCUUGGGAAGCCUAUCAAGAAGCUCCUGAAUGACGAGCGGCUCAGGUACACCUCCAGCCAGAAGACGGAUGUCUUCUUCCACCUCGGACGUCAUUCUCUGUAAAAUGGAAAAGGAG
Molecule: long non-coding RNA, 369 nt
Organism: Spea bombifrons (plains spadefoot toad)
Lineage: Eukaryota; Metazoa; Chordata; Amphibia; Anura; Pelobatidae
Exons: 3
Source: RefSeq, a predicted model, not a curated record